UGCAAGUCGAGGGGUAGAAGGAGCUUGCUCCUUUGAGACCGGCGCACGGGUGCGUAACGCGUAUGCAAUCUACCUUGUACAGGGGGAUAGCCCAGAGAAAUUUGGAUUAAUACCCCAUAGUAUUUUCAGAUGGCCUCAUUUGAUUAUUAAAGUUCCAACGGUACAAGAUGAGCAUGCGUCCCAUUAGCUAGUUGGUGUGGUAACGGCAUACCAAGGCAACGAUGGGUAGGGGUCCUGAGAGGGAGAUCCCCCACACUGGUACUGAGACACGGACCAGACUCCUACGGGAGGCAGCAGUGAGGAAUAUUGGUCAAUGGGCGCAAGCCUGAACCAGCCAUGCCGCGUGCAGGAUGACGGUCCUAUGGAUUGUAAACUGCUUUUGUACAGGAAGAAACCCUCCCUUGUAAGGGAGCUUGACGGUACUGUAAGAAUAAGGAUCGGCUAACUCCGUGCCAGCAGCCGCGGUAAUACGGAGGAUCCAAGCGUUAUCCGGAAUCAUUGGGUUUAAAGGGUCCGUAGGCGGUUUUAUAAGUCAGUGGUGAAAUCUGGUCGCUCAACGAUCAAACGGCCAUUGAUACUGUAAGACUUGAAUUACUUGGAAGUAACUAGAAUAUGUAGUGUAGCGGUGAAAUGCUUAGAGAUUACAUGGAAUACCGAUUGCGAAGGCAGGUUACUACGAGUAUAUUGACGCUGAUGGACGAAAGCGUGGGGAGCGAACAGGAUUAGAUACCCUGGGUAGUCCACGCCGUAAACGAUGGAUACUAGCUGUUUGGAGCAAUCUGAGUGGCUAAGCGAAAGUGAUAAGUAUCCCACCUGGGGGAGUACGCUCGCAG
RNAcentral lists this ribosomal RNA (833 nucleotides) under Flavobacterium columnare. Its description in RNAcentral is "bacterial SSU rRNA". It matches the Rfam family "Bacterial small subunit ribosomal RNA", at positions 56 to 891 of the family's 1533-position model. The record is from RNAcentral. Lineage: Bacteria; Pseudomonadati; Bacteroidota; Flavobacteriia; Flavobacteriales; Flavobacteriaceae.